This 262-nucleotide long non-coding RNA is filed under the name Olea europaea (common olive). Its description in RNAcentral is "long non-coding RNA (OEUR_LNC005749)". Lineage: Eukaryota; Viridiplantae; Streptophyta; Magnoliopsida; Lamiales; Oleaceae. The record is from RNAcentral.
UGAUCCUAGUGAGGUUUAUUGAGAGAAUAAACAUGGUUCUUGCAUUGCAUCUGUGUGUAAUCCUUUCUGCAUGUAUGUGGUCACUUAAUUCUGUUGCGAUGUUGAUUUUACACUUUCAAUAUGUUUGAUAUGUGUAAUUGCAUGAAUUAGAGUGACUUAUUACUUUGUGUAAUAUGUUUACAUGCAUAGUGGGUUAAGUUUUGUGGCAUACUCUAUUUGCUCUGUGAGUGGUGUGAGAGUGUGGUAGUGAGAAGAAAGUUGG